AUUUGAAUAACCCUGUAUAGCGCCUCAUAUACAUUGACCAAUGGGAAUAGCUCUGUACAAUGCCUCAUUAGAAUUAUCCAAUAGAAUCCCUGCUCCUAGCUUGCACCUUUUUCCCUAUAUAAGGACCCCUUUCCCUUGGCUAGGGGCGCUUAGCCACACACAAGCUAAGUCGCCCCGGGUACCCGCGUCUCCAAUAAAGCCUCUUGUUUUUGCAUCCAAGUUCGUGGCCUCGCUGAUUCCUGGGUGUGGGUCUCCCUCUACGAAAGUACCUCUUCGGGGGUCUUUCAGAGCCAUGCCGUACAUGAAUGAUGAAAUAUUCACUUCUUCCCUUCAAAGCCUUCUGCUCUCUGUUUUAUUUACUUGCCUUACUGCGUUGGCUGUGAUCUUCAGUGGUGGUUGAUCGAAGCGGUGAGAAUGUCUCUUCUUGCCUCAUCUGUGGCCUCAGGCAGAAAGCUAACGUUCGCCACUGAGAGGGUUGCUGGUGCACUUGCUCCAACACAGUCUCCUAUCCCAUGGAUGCCUUAGUUUGCCAAGAGUCUUGUUUAAUUAUGUGAACUCUCAGCUACUGCUCCAGCACCACACUUGCCUGCUGCCACGACUCCUCCCUGCCACGACUCCCUGCCACGACUCCCUGCCACGACUCCUCCCUGCCACGACUCCCUGCCACGACUCCUCCCUGCCACGACUCCCUGCCACGACUCCCUGCCACGACUCCUCCCUGCCACGACUCCCUGCCAUGACUCCUCCCUGCCAGGACUCCCUGCCACGACUCCCUACCACAACUCCCUGCCACGACUCCCUGCCACGAUGCUCACAAGUUCACCCUCUGAAACUGUGAGCUGCCAAUGAAAUGCUUUCUCUUCUCUUCUUUUCUUUUCUUUUCUUUUCUUUUCUUUUCUUUCUUUCUUUCCUUUUUCCUUUCUUUCUUUCUUUCUUUCUUUCUUUCUUUCUUUCUUUCUUUCUUUCUUUCUUUUUUUGCCUUGAUCUCUCUUCACAGCAAUGGAACAGUAACUAAGACAAAUAAUGAACUGACUGAUACUAUUCUCUGAAGGGCCCAGCCCCCUGCCUUGGCAGCCAUGACAGGCUGCAGAAAAGACCCAACAAGAUGUAGGCCUCUGACUCAACAACAUGUGCUGAGCUCCCAACCUUGCCCUAGUCACUAGGAAGCCAGAUACCCUCUGAGGAACCAAUCAGAAGUUUCCUGACAGGCUCUGGAUGUGCUUUACUGAUAACAGUGGAAUGCAGAGCAUAGCAACCGCCCUGGGAGGGCCUCUAGGCAUAGCAACCUUCCUGCAACUGCAGCUGACCAAUCAGCACAGGACAGGUUGCCCAAGCCGGGAAGUGCACCAAUCCUGAGACUGUUGCUAUGCAACUAGCGGACCCCCCCCCCCAGACACUCCCCUUGCUCUAUCCCAAUAUAUUUCCUGCUCCACGGCUGCUCGAGGUCCUCCUGCGUCACCCGCUGUGUUGGAUGGAUGGACGGGGAAACCCAAGUUAACUCAUAAGAUUAAAGACUCUUUGCUUUUAA
This 1528-nucleotide long non-coding RNA is filed under the name Cricetulus griseus (Chinese hamster). RNAcentral describes it as "lncRNA (ENSCGRG00015039579.1)". Lineage: Eukaryota; Metazoa; Chordata; Mammalia; Rodentia; Cricetidae. The record is from RNAcentral.